UUAGAUGUCACUCUUGGGUCAAAACUUGAAAAUAUUAGAAAUGAAGACAGAUUAGCAUGGCCCCUGCGCAAGGAUGACACGCAAAUUUGUGAAGCGUUCCAUAUUUUU
Small nuclear RNA from Bubalus bubalis (water buffalo), 108 nucleotides. The record is from RefSeq and is a predicted model, not a curated record. NCBI's taxonomy places the organism in Eukaryota, Metazoa, Chordata, Mammalia, Artiodactyla, Bovidae.